Molecule: long non-coding RNA, 405 nt
Organism: Mytilus trossulus (common blue mussel)
Lineage: Eukaryota; Metazoa; Mollusca; Bivalvia; Mytilida; Mytilidae
Exons: 3
Source: RefSeq, a predicted model, not a curated record
UCAAGAACACACGGUUUAUGCAAGUCUUGGUGAUUCAGCAGUUCUUCAAUUCAAAGACUCUCGUGUAUCCACAUUGAUAUGGAAAAGGAAUGAAAAUAUUAUCAUAUCAGAUGGUUCUCUCAUUAACAUUAACAUCAACGAAAAAGAACGAUUCAGAAUAAUUGGCAACCAAAGUAUAGGAGAGUACAAUUUGGAAAUUGCAAACAUAACAGAGGAUGAUUUGGGCUUGUACUGGUGUGAAUAUCAGAUUCAAAAUACUGCAGUACAGAGAAAAGUUGUUUUGAAGCUUGCAGAUGCAAAAAGCACAGUUGUAACUGAGGUAUACAGAGAACAAAGCACAGAUAAAGAUGAUGUGUCUACCAAUUAUGUAUCUGUGACAUUCACGAUUUCGACUGCCAAAUCUAC